AGAAUCAACGCUGGCGGCGUGCCUAACACAUGCAAGUCGAACGAGAAAGUGGAGCAAUCCAUGAGUAAAGUGGCGCACGGGUGAGUAACACGUGACUAACCUACCCUUGAGUGGGGAAUAACUGAGGGAACCUUAGCUAAUACCGCAUAAUACCUACGGGUCAAAGGAGCAAUUCGCUUAAGGAGGGGGUCGCGGCAGAUUAGCUAGUUGGCGGGGUAAUGGCCAACCAAGGCAGUGAUCUGUA
Molecule: ribosomal RNA, 244 nt
Filed under: uncultured bacterium
Lineage: Bacteria
Description: partial small subunit ribosomal RNA
Rfam family: Bacterial small subunit ribosomal RNA
Source: RNAcentral